RNAcentral lists this ribosomal RNA (1396 nucleotides) under Vibrio crassostreae. RNAcentral describes it as "partial 23S ribosomal RNA". It matches the Rfam family "Bacterial large subunit ribosomal RNA", at positions 1440 to 2817 of the family's 2925-position model. Lineage: Bacteria; Pseudomonadati; Pseudomonadota; Gammaproteobacteria; Vibrionales; Vibrionaceae. The record is from RNAcentral.
CGUACUUCUUACAAUUGCGAUGGGGGGACGGAGAAGGCUAGGUGGGCCUGGCGACGGUUGUCCAGGUUCAAGUACGUAGGCGGGUGGUUUAGGUAAAUCCGGACCGCUACUAACGCUGAGAUACGAUGUCGAGCUACUACGGUAGUGAAGUCAUUGAUGCCAUGCUUCCAGGAAAAGCCUCUAAGCUUCAGAUUGUAAGGAAUCGUACCCCAAACCGACACAGGUGGUCGGGUAGAGAAUACCAAGGCGCUUGAGAGAACUCGGGUGAAGGAACUAGGCAAAAUGGUACCGUAACUUCGGGAGAAGGUACGCUCUUAUCAGUGAAGUCCCUUGCGGAUGGAGCAGACGAGAGUCGCAGAUACCAGGUGGCUGCAACUGUUUAUUAAAAACACAGCACUGUGCAAAAUCGUAAGAUGACGUAUACGGUGUGACGCCUGCCCGGUGCCGGAAGGUUAAUUGAUGGGGUUAGACUUCGGUCGAAGCUCUUGAUCGAAGCCCCGGUAAACGGCGGCCGUAACUAUAACGGUCCUAAGGUAGCGAAAUUCCUUGUCGGGUAAGUUCCGACCUGCACGAAUGGCGUAAUGAUGGCCACGCUGUCUCCACCCGAGACUCAGUGAAAUUGAAAUCGCUGUGAAGAUGCAGUGUACCCGCGGCUAGACGGAAAGACCCCGUGAACCUUUACUACAGCUUGGCACUGAACAUUGAACCUACAUGUGUAGGAUAGGUGGGAGACUUUGAAACCGCGUCGCUAGAUGUGGUGGAGUCGUCCUUGAAAUACCACCCUUGUAGUUUUGAUGUUCUAACGUUGGUCCCUGAAUCGGGAUUACGGACAGUGCCUGGUGGGUAGUUUGACUGGGGCGGUCUCCUCCCAAAGAGUAACGGAGGAGCACGAAGGUGGGCUAAACACGGUUGGACAUCGUGUGGUUAGUGCAAUGGCAUAAGCCCGCUUGACUGCGAGAAUGACAAUUCGAGCAGGUGCGAAAGCAGGUCAUAGUGAUCCGGUGGUUCUGAAUGGAAGGGCCAUCGCUCAACGGAUAAAAGGUACUCCGGGGAUAACAGGCUGAUACCGCCCAAGAGUUCAUAUCGACGGCGGUGUUUGGCACCUCGAUGUCGGCUCAUCACAUCCUGGGGCUGAAGUCGGUCCCAAGGGUAUGGCUGUUCGCCAUUUAAAGUGGUACGCGAGCUGGGUUUAGAACGUCGUGAGACAGUUCGGUCCCUAUCUGCCGUGGGCGUUGGAAAAUUGAAAGGGGCUGCUCCUAGUACGAGAGGACCGGAGUGGACGAACCUCUGGUGUUCGGGUUGUCAUGCCAAUGGCAUUGCCCGGUAGCUAAGUUCGGAAUCGAUAACCGCUGAAAGCAUCUAAGCGGGAAGCGAGCCUUGAGAUGAGUUUUCCCUG